This 841-nucleotide unclassified non-coding RNA is filed under the name Hevea brasiliensis (rubber tree). Lineage: Eukaryota; Viridiplantae; Streptophyta; Magnoliopsida; Malpighiales; Euphorbiaceae. The record is from RNAcentral.
CGCAGCUCGCCCAUCACACCUCCUAUCUACUCCCCACGGACCUGCAAAUCCACCCAAUUUCCCUCGAUCACUCCCAAUCCUCUCAGCCGAUGGGGCCGAUCCAGGCGGCGGUCGCCGACGGCGUCAUCACGUUCCUCUGGGUCUUCUGCGUCUCCACCCUCGGUGCCUUCACCUCCGUCAUCGCCGCCUACCUCAACACCACCUCCCUCCCCCUCUCCCUCCUCAUCACCACCUCCCUCGUCGCCUUCCUAGUCUUCAUCUUCAACAUCAUCGGCGAUGCCGUCGGCGGGGCCAGCUUCAACCCCACCGGUACCGCCGCCUUCUACGCGGCCGGGCUCAGCAAGGAUAGUCUGAUCUCCAUGGCCCUCCGUUUCCCCGCACAGGCGGCAGGUGCGGUGGGCGGUGCCCUGGCUAUCUUGGAGUACAUGCCUCCGAAGUACAAGCACAUGCUGGGUGGGCCGUCCUUGAAGGUGGACCUGCACACUGGUGCGGCAGCGGAGGGGAUCCUCACUUUUGUUAUCACUAUGGCUGUCCUCUGGAUUGUCGUGAAGGGCCCUGCCAACUCGAUUGUCAAGACCUGGAUGCUUGCUGUCGCAACUGUCGCUCUGGUUAUCACGGGGUCCGGUUUUACUGGGCCUUCCAUGAACCCUGCUAAUGCAUUUGGUUGGGCGUAUGUGAACAACCGCCACAACACAUGGGAGCAGUUUUACGUAUACUGGAUCUGCCCUUUCGUUGGCGCGAUCCUGGCCGGUUGGUGUUUCAGGAUUCUUUUCCCUUUGGGGCCACCCAAGUCUAAGAAGACUAAAGAGGCAUGAGGUGUCGUUCUGUUAAUUUGUUGGAG